GGAGGAAUUAACUAUGAAUAGAUUGCAGGCUUGUGGAAAAUCACUACCGAGCGCAAAGAUUUCGUAAAAUAAAUGUGCAGCGCUGAAAACAGGGAAUUUUGGUGUCCGUGCGCACGAAACAACGCGAAAAAACAGGUUGAACUUAACGGAAUUAAUGACGACUUCCGUGCAAAAAGCCAUCCGCCCGUAGCGAAGCGCUACCAACCUGAUGAUUUCCGUCAGGAGCUCCAUCUGCCACAUUUUUUCCAUACCCUAACAGAGCGGAUCGGUAACUGCGCAAUCACCGG
Molecule: long non-coding RNA, 287 nt
Organism: Paramacrobiotus metropolitanus
Lineage: Eukaryota; Metazoa; Tardigrada; Eutardigrada; Parachela; Macrobiotidae
Exons: 3
Source: RefSeq, a predicted model, not a curated record